Molecule: long non-coding RNA, 389 nt
Organism: Schistocerca serialis cubense
Lineage: Eukaryota; Metazoa; Arthropoda; Insecta; Orthoptera; Acrididae
Exons: 2
Source: RefSeq, a predicted model, not a curated record
CGCCGAUUUGCGGGGGAGGAAUGUGGUGUCACCGCCAGACACCACACUUGCUAGGUGGUAGUUUAAAUCGGCCGCGGUCCAUGUAGUACAUGUCGGACCCGCGUGUCGCCACUGUGAUCGCAGACCUAGCGCCACCACCAAGGCAGGUCUCGUGAUACGAGAGUGGACUCGACCCCAGUUGUACGAGAGCCUAGAUACCGCCCAGUUGUACGCUACCCUAGCUAUCGCCCAGUGGUACGAAGCCAUUCUCUCUCAUUAGCCGAGAGACAGAAUAGCCAUCAGAAGUUAAUGGCUACGAACUAACAAGGAGCCAUUUGUAUCAGUGCCUAUAGCUUACGAGUAUUCAAGAGAGAUGUAUUCCAAGGAAUCAAUAAAAGUUAAGUAAAAAG